Non-coding RNA from Carica papaya (papaya), 336 nucleotides. NCBI's taxonomy places the organism in Eukaryota, Viridiplantae, Streptophyta, Magnoliopsida, Brassicales, Caricaceae. The record is from RefSeq and is a predicted model, not a curated record.
UUUUUAAAUUGUCCGUUUAAUGCAUGUGUUUCUGUUUGUGAAUAAGGCAAACAUACUCCAGUAAUAGCCUAGAUUCGAUGGGACCUGUAGAUCGAACUGAGUGGGGAUCCCGGUGACAUAUUCAGUUCCUGUUUUAUGGAUAGGAACAUCAAGAGCAAGUUCAAGAUCAAAUGAAAACUUGGAAGCAUCCUUUUUAUGAUUUUGAGAAAUUGCUUUCUGUAAAGUAGGUUUAAGAUUUACGGUAAAAACCUUAUUAAAGAUUUUGUUAGCCCCAUGAUUUGUAAUUUUGUCAAAUGAUAUAUGAUUUAGUUUAAAUUUUAACAUAUUGCUAUGUUA